RNAcentral lists this transfer RNA (74 nucleotides) under Wolbachia endosymbiont of Tyrophagus putrescentiae. RNAcentral describes it as "tRNA-Arg". It matches the Rfam family "tRNA". Rfam says of the family: Transfer RNA (tRNA) molecules are approximately 80 nucleotides in length. The record is from RNAcentral. Lineage: Bacteria; Pseudomonadati; Pseudomonadota; Alphaproteobacteria; Rickettsiales; Anaplasmataceae.
GGGACUAUAGCUCAGUAGGAUAGAGCGCUGGAUUCCUAAUCCGGAGGUCGUGUGUUCGACUCACACUAGUCCCA